GAUGAACGCUGGCGGCGUGCCUAAUACAUGCAAGUCGAGCGAACGGACGAGAAGCUUGCUUCUCUGAUGUUAGCGGCGGACGGGUGAGUAACACGUGGAUAACCUACCUAUAAGACUGGGAUAACUUCGGGAAACCGGAGCUAAUACCGGAUAAUAUUUUGAACCGCAUGGUUCAAAAGUGAAAGACGGUCUUGCUGUCACUUAUAGAUGGAUCCGCGCUGCAUUAGCUAGUUGGUAAGGUAACGGCUUACCAAGGCAACGAUGCAUAGCCGACCUGAGAGGGUGAUCGGCCACACUGGUACUGAGACACGGUCCAGACUCCUACGGGAGGCAGCAGUAGGGAAUCUUCCGCAAUGGGCGAAAGCCUGACGGAGCAACGCCGCGUGAGUGAUGAAGGCCUUCGGAUCGUAAAACUCUGUUAUUAGGGAAGAACAUAUGUGUAAGUAACUGUGCACAUCUUGACGGUACCUAAUCAGAAAGCCACGGCUAACUACGUG
RNAcentral lists this ribosomal RNA (497 nucleotides) under uncultured bacterium. RNAcentral describes it as "partial 16S ribosomal RNA". It matches the Rfam family "Bacterial small subunit ribosomal RNA", at positions 28 to 507 of the family's 1533-position model. The record is from RNAcentral.